UAACUGGCUUUUGGCAGCUAAGUGUUCACAGCGACGCUACUUUUUGAUCCUUCGAUUACAACUCUUCCCAUCAUACUGAAGCAGAAUUCAGCAAGCGUUGGAUUGUUCACCCAUUGAUAGGGAUUGUGGGUUAAGACUGGACAGUGACAAAACAGUG
RNAcentral lists this non-coding RNA (157 nucleotides) under Linnemannia elongata AG-77. RNAcentral describes it as "Mortierella elongata AG-77 Eukaryotic large subunit ribosomal RNA". It matches the Rfam family "Eukaryotic large subunit ribosomal RNA", at positions 2827 to 2982 of the family's 3401-position model. The record is from Rfam by way of RNAcentral. Lineage: Eukaryota; Fungi; Mortierellomycota; Mortierellomycetes; Mortierellales; Mortierellaceae.